RNAcentral lists this ribosomal RNA (404 nucleotides) under uncultured bacterium. RNAcentral describes it as "bacterial SSU rRNA". It matches the Rfam family "Bacterial small subunit ribosomal RNA", at positions 28 to 431 of the family's 1533-position model. The record is from RNAcentral.
GACGAACGCUGGCGGCGUGCCUAACACAUGCAAGUCGAGCGAAUGAAGUUCCUUCGGGAAUGGAUUUAGCGGCGGACGGGUGAGUAACACGUGGGCAACCUGCCUCAUAGAGGGGAAUAGCCUUCCGAAAGGGAGAUUAAUACCGCAUAAGAUUGUAGUACCGCAUGGUACAGCAAUUAAAGGAGCAAUCCGCUAUGAGAUGGGCCCCGCGGCGCAUUAGCUAGUUGGUGAGGUAACGGCUCACCAAGGCGACGAUGCGUAGCCGACCUGAGAGGGUGAUCGGCCACAUUGGGACUGAGACACGGCCCAGACUCCUACGGGAGGCAGCAGUGGGGAAUAUUGCACAAUGGGGGAAACCCUGAUGCAGCAACGCCGCGUGAGUGAUGACGGCCUUGGUGUAAAGC